AUUGAACGCUGGCGGCAUGGUUAAAACAUGCAAGUCGAACGCGAAAGCGGGGCAACCCGCGAGUAGAGUGGCGAAAGGGCGAGUAAUGCGUUUCUAACGUACCCCAGACUUAGGGAUAGCUCGGAGAAAUUCGAGGUAAUACCUGAUGAUGUUGAUGGGCCGCAUGGUCUAUCAACCAAAGGCUUGCUGGUCUGGGAGCGGGGAACGUCCUAUCAGCUAGUUGGUGAGGUAAUAGCUCACCAAGGCGAAGACGGGUAGCGGGUGUGAGAGCACGGCCCGCGCAUCGGGACUGAGACACUGCCCGGACUCCUACGGGAGGCUGCAGUAACGAAUAUUCCGCAAUGGGC
RNAcentral lists this ribosomal RNA (347 nucleotides) under uncultured bacterium. Its description in RNAcentral is "bacterial SSU rRNA". It matches the Rfam family "Bacterial small subunit ribosomal RNA", at positions 30 to 376 of the family's 1533-position model. The record is from RNAcentral.